Molecule: long non-coding RNA, 1014 nt
Organism: Lathyrus oleraceus (garden pea)
Lineage: Eukaryota; Viridiplantae; Streptophyta; Magnoliopsida; Fabales; Fabaceae
Exons: 3
Source: RefSeq, a predicted model, not a curated record
UCAAAAACCCCAAACCCAUGUUUUAAAAUUUUAAAGAGAGCAUCCUCGGAGCUCUUUCCCGCUCUUCCACGCCGAAGCUCAUUGUCGGUGGCGGCGGAGCUCCUAUACUGAAACUAAAUACAUAAAACCUUAUGUAUCAACCCCUAGAUCAUGAAUCCCAAGACCAUAGUUACUAAAACCCAACCAAUAAGCCUAAUUGAAAGAGAAAUCACAAGAACCCUAGCUAUAGAAUCGAAAAUUAAAUGAUGGAAUGACACAAAACUAAACAAUUGAUUUUGGGUUUUUGAUCCUCAAGUGGAGCUCUACCUUAUGGUAACUCUUGUUUGAUGAAAUGGGUGAGCUCGAGUUGUUGCCUCGUCGGAGAAGAUGACCAGAGCAAAACAAACGACAACAAAUUGUUUUAGGUUGGUAGGGAGCAUGGAGCUCGAAGCAAGAACCAUGGUGCAUUGGAUUAAUGAUUGAUGAUGAAUGAUGAUGCAGGGAGUGUUGAUGGGCUGCUUAUGAAUGUUUUGCAGGUGAUUUGUUUUAUGGAUGCAAGGUUGAUGUGAUGCAUUGUUGUAGGCAUAUUAUGGUUGGUCUGAUGAUGGAUGCAAGGCUGUUAUGACUGAUGUAGCUUGAAGGUGCUUCUCAUUGUUGUGCAGGCUUGUUUAAUGAUGGAUGGAAGGAUGAUGUGGAAUGCUGCAGGCCCAAUAUGAGCUCAAUAUAGUAUGGUCAAUUAAGGUAUAUGGUGCAUGGAAACCUCAUGGUAAGGGCUGCCACUCAAAGCAAGAUGUUUUAUGUUUUUCCUUUUGAUUCAAACCCAUGUGUUGCAACAUGUAGUAUGCCAUGUAAUUAUCAUAGGAUAUAAUAUGAUUAAUGCUUAUAAUGAAAUGAGUUCAUGGAUGAUUCAUGUACCAUGCUUAUGUAUGUAACAUGCCUGUGUAAUGGGAAAAAAAACUCACUUACAAUGAUUAUGUAAACAUGCUCAUGAAAUGGAAAAUGCAUGUAUGUAAACUCAAAUUGAUGAUUCAAAGU